CAAAAGAAAAAAAUGUGAUAAAAAUAAAUGUGAUAUGCAUCUAUGGAGAUUUUUUUUCUCAGUGUACAUUCAAGUCUUGGCAACAAAAAAAAAAAUCUACUGAACAUUGAACACACCUCUUGUGCCUUAAUAACGAGACAUGUUGUCACACGUACUAUGUAGAAAAAGUUGUCAUAAUGAAACCUGCCUGUCUAUUCAGCAAAAUGUAAACAUUAAAAUGAUUAUAACAUGAAACAGCAAAAAUAUGAAAGGUAACUUUUUUUUUAUUUGUGGCCAAGAAAUAUUGUAUUUAAUAAAUUGCAUCGAUUUGUAACAUUGUCAACACGUGUAACAACUUGACCUAAACUGACAUUUAGAAAACACAUACAUUUGUUCUUAAAACACGAUUAAACCUUUCAGUUAAAAUGUAUAACGCUACUUUCAUUUACUGUUAUAUAGAUGACCCUGGCCCGAAUGUUUUCCAGUGUGGUUUAUUGGGUUUACUUAUUAACCCUAUAGGAAAAACUAGACUUUAAGACAGCAUGCCUUAUUUGCAUAUAAUAUACAUUACAUUUAGAAUGAUUUUUCAGCUGAUUUUUUUACUUGUCCAUUAUACUGACUAAAUAUCAGUAUAAUUAUACAUCAUUAGAAUCUAAGUUUAAUAAAUAAAAUAUGCUAACCCAAUUUCCUGUACAUGUGUCAAGAAACUAUAAAGGCCAAUUCACACCGCACCGACAAACGAGUCACAGAGAGUCAAGUCUGACUGGGAAAAUUCCACACAUACGUGUAACCAUGUUAACGAUAUUGUCAGGCAAGUUAUUAUAUUAAUAAUAUAGUAUCAUAUAUAUUUUCAUUGUAUUAAAGUAUUGAGGCAAAACAAAAAUACUAACCUGAAAUCCGAAGCGCUGUAGCCAUCGAUCUGAUCACAACCCAUUGCGUUGCGGUUGGUAUACACCGGUUUUUAAACUUUUUUUAGCGCGACCCUUUUUAUUUAUGUGACCCAUAGGCCUAUACAACCAUGUAGCUAAACAAGCCAAAACGAAUUAAUUUAAAACGAAACUGAAGGUAAACCUGCGUUGCUCUCUCUUUCGGUGAAGUGGAGCAGUGCUCUUGCGGAGUCGCGGAUUGCACUACGGACUAUUGUACCUUUCACAUGUUUUUUUUUUUUUUUUAACUGUAUUUUUUUUUAAUUUUUUUAUAAAGAACAAGCUGCGAUGUCACGUUUAAAGUGCUUUGUUGUGUGUGCGUGAGGCGCGGGCGCGAUCAAACAGCUGUUUUUGCAGGGGACUUGCCUCAUCGUCAUGGCAACGGUUCGUGGCCAGGUCAGAUUACGUCAGAGUUUGUUGGAAAACUGCUCACACUGCUCAGACAUUACACGACCCAACAAACGCCGAUUAAACAUGUUCAGUCGGGUGAAAACAGACUCCAUCAGACGCCAACAGGGGUAUCACACCUAUCCAACAAACUCGAACAGACGAGCGUUUGUCGGCGCGGUGUGAAUUGGCCUUUAAACGUUACAUCGCAGCUUGUUCUUUAUAAAAAAAAAAAAAUACAGUUAAAAAAAAAAACAUAAAAAGGUACAAUAGUCCGUAGCGCAAUCCGUGCCAUUCAGCAAGAGCACUGCUCCACUUCACCGAAAGAGAGAGCAACGCAGGUUUACCUUCAGUUUCGUUUUAAAUUAAUUCGUUUUGGCUUGUUUAGCUACAUGGUUGUAUAGGCCUAUGGGUCACAUAAAUAGGGUCGCGCUAAAAAAAGUUUAAAAACCGGUGUAUACCAACCGCAACGCAAUGGGUUGUGAUCAGAUCGAUGGCUACAGCGCUUCGGAUUUCAGGUUAGUAUUUUUGUUUUGCCUCAAUACUUUAAUACAAUGAAAAUAUAUAUGAUACUAUAUUAUUAAUAUAAUAACUUGCCUGACAGUAUCGUUAACAUAGUUACACGUAUGUAGUUGCGGAAUUUUCCCAGUCAGACUUGACUCUCUGUGACUCGUUUGUCGGUGUUUGUUGGGUCAGUGUGAACAUGACAGUUUUUUCUCAUAGAAUUCUAAAUCCAACGGCCAACUUGUUCGUUGGCGUUUGUCGGUGCGGUGUGAAUUGGCCUUUAAAGGCCGGAACACACCAAGCCGACGGUUGGCCGUCGGGCAGUUUUUGUUCGUCGGCCGACUAAGUUUUCUCAGUGUGUUCUGCACCGUCGGCUUUUUUCCGGCCGAUUCGAAAUGUUGAAUCGGCGUCGGCGCUCGUCGGUCCGUCGGGCCAUCUAAUCAUUCUGAUUGGCUGUUCAGCUACUGCCACCUGCUGGUACGGAAAGGCAUUUCAUCUUGCGCAGGCGCAGAACGGACGUGCUACUUGGCCGUCGGGUGGUAAGCGUCGGUUUGGUGUGUCAGGGCAACUUUGGACACAGACGCUGCCGACGUGAGCCAACCCCGCAGUCUGUUUUCGUCACCACUAGUUCGUCGGCGUCGGCUUGGUGUGUUCCGGCCUUAAGAGAUACGGGUGCCGUCAUGACUAAUGCCACUGACGCUGAUGACCUUUUUUUAGGCUGCCAUCAUAACUGACUUUGUCCUAUUAGGGUAAAUGAUUAAACUUCACACAUUCAAAUGCAUUUUCUGAAAAGGAGUGUAAGUAAAGGUCUUAGUGUUUCAAAAAACAUUAAAAAAAGCUUUAUGAACAUUCGAGUCUAAAAUGAACUAAAUGCCUUGACAACAUGUGACCUAACAUGUACUAAUGUCUCCUUCUCUUCCUUGUUGCCAGAAUGUCAAGCACAUGGCAAAUUGAUUUUAAUUUUAUUGGCUGAAGGGGAUGUCAUAUCCUCCUGGGACCCAGGAAUAGAAUUUUGGCCUCUGUAGUGGACAUUAUAUUUUAGUGAUUUUCUCUGACAUCAUACAUGUCACAGUUUUAAGUCUGGAUGUCCUGUAAAGAGCACAUUCUGGGCUUUGCAGAGAUACCAAAUUUUUUUUUGCAAAUUUUUAGAGGUUUUGCCAUGACAAUAACAACUUCUUGGUCUUUAAAUAUGACUGAAAAUGAAAAUUAGCACUCUUAUGGAAAUAUGAUAAUAUUUUGUAAUUAUCAUUUAAAUCUGAUUAUUUUUCAAAUUGUUUGUUAUAAAUCAACAUCUCAGGAAAAUCUUAUGGGGUUUGAAAUCAUAAUAUGACUUUCUGUUAUGAAACAGGACAUUGAUUUCAUACAUGACCUCUGUUAGAGGACACCAGGACUAAAAUCAUGUUUAUCAGGCAUUUUAGGAGAUACAACAAGUGAAUAGGGAAAGAAAUUGUAUAUCGAUAUUCCUGUUAAUUAUUAGAUAUUAUUAUGAAAAUGCUGCCAAUUAUUACAUUAUUACACUUCUUUUUUCAUUGCAUGUUGCUCCAAGAACACAUUAAUAUGCAAAUUAGAUACAAUGUAUGAAUACAUUGUAUUGAAUGGGAAAACCAAUGUAUGGCUAUUUUACCCACAUACUGCAUAAAGUAAAAUGGUAUAUCAAUUAAUUCCAUUAUAUCUUUCAUAACAUAGUUGAGAAUCAUCUUUAUACAAAGUUUGGUUAAAAAAAAAAUCCUGAAGCCUAAAAAUUGAUUGGUGAUUAAAAAGAAAAAAUUCCAUUGUUUUUUGCCUAUACAUGUAAUUUAAUGUAAUUUUAUUUUUUAAACAACUUAGUCCUGGUGUCCACUACAGAGGACAUAGCAUAACAUAUGAAUAAAAUAUAAUUUUUCAAAAAUGUUUUUUUUUUUUUUUUCAUUUGUUUCCUAUGCUCUAAACAAUGUAAUGACGUGAAAAAAUACUAAAUUCAAAAAACUUUUUUUUUCUGGGUCUCAGGAGGAUAUUAUAUUACUUUUUUUUGUUGAACAUUAUUAUUGUAUUUUAAAUGCAAUUUUCUUAGUGUCAUUUAUAAAUGACGAUGUCCCAUAGAGUGUUAAAAUGUACUUAAAGCACGUACGUAAAGCACUACUGAUGCACACAAAUGUUAAUGUGUAUUUAAUAUAGACUACUGUGUACUAUAUUUUAAGGGCUUGCAAAACAAAUUCUUUGGCAGAAUGUACUGUCAUGCACCUAUAGGCAGCAGGCGAAUUAUCAUUCAAUGUAUAACAAAUGUCAAGUGUGCUUGACAGGUUAUAGCUACUAUUACUAAAGCCAGAAAUAUUCCUACACUGUUCUCAAAAAUAAGAAAUAUAAAAAUACAUUUCAAAUCAUUAUUUACAAAUUAACUAAGAUAUCAUACAAUGAUGUUAUGUGGCAUAGAUAAUUGACUCUACAAGUGUACACAAACACAGUGUUUAGUUUUUCUCUUUGUGCUAUUUCUUCAGGAAAUGGGAACCACCUUAAGUAAUGUUCCCUGUUCCCAGGAUGCCUCCCACUGUGUAACAUGGGCACUCUAGCCAGAAGCCACUGACUUCAUGUGUUAGUCUCAAUAACAUGAGCUUUUUUAGCUUGUGGGAACUGGCUUAGUGCAAGGGUCACUCAAAGAACAAUAAGAAAUGCUCAUUGUGAACAUAAGGGAAACACCACAACAUUUUUCUCAAGCAAUAAAACAAUGAUAAUGAAAUAAUGAGAUAAUAAAAUGAAACACCAUGGGAUUGUAUUGUAAUAGAAUAGGUUCAUGAGCAUCAAUUUUAAAUAUAAUGAUAAUGGCAAACAGACUUUUAAUAAGUAUUUUACAACAGUAGCCACAUUCAAAUCCAGACUCAAAACAUAUCUUUUUAGCUAUGCAUUUACUGAUUGAGCACUGUGCUAUGUCCGAACUGUUUGCACUUUAUUUUAUACGUAUUAUCUUUUUUGUUCUUUUAAUUCUUUUUCUUGUUUUUAUUUCAUUUUUAAUGCAUUUUAUAUCAAUCUUUUAUGUAUCAUCUUUAUAUUUCUGACUUUUAAUGCAUUUUAAAUCUUGCUGUCUGGUUGAAAGAGCUGGGAGAGUUAGGAAGUAAGCAUUUGUUGUCCCUGGAUGGAGCUCUGACAAGAGUUAGUCCAGGAAGAUUUGUCUGUAAGGGUACUGUUUAAACGCACAGCUACCUGACAAAUAUAAAUAUUUUUCCAUUUAGAUCCGCUAUGAUGGACGACAAAGUUGAGUAAAGUUAUCCCUGGAUGGAGCUCUGGAUAGAGUUAGUCCAGGAAGAUUUGUCUGUAAGGGUACUGUUUAAAUGCACAGCUACCUGACAAAUAUAAAUAUUUUUCCAUUUAGAUCCGCUCUGACGGACAACAAAGUUGAGUACAGUUAUCCCUCCAGCGUGAGGAAGAUUAGUUUAGAUCCGCUCUGACGGACAACAAAAAACUCCCUGAAACUUCCUAACUCUUCUAUCCAGGUAGUGAUAUUCCGUGUUUUUGCUGUUAUUUUUAUUUCUUAUGCAUUCCAUUUUUAUUCUUAUGUAUUUGGUUCUUCUUUAUGUAAAGCACUUUGAAUUACCAUUGUGUAUGAAAUGUGCUAUACAAAUAAAAUUGCCUUGCCUUUUAAUGUGUCAUGAAUUAGAUAUUUUAUAGGUGAGUACAAAACUAACAUGACACUGUAUGUUAGCAAAACAAAGAUGCUACUUAAGACCAAAUGAACUGUUUUGCAGUGUGUACUUUAAUCUUAACCCCUUUAAUCUUAUUCUUUAUUCUCAGGUUAGGUAAAGUAAGGUAAAGUAAAAAGACUUAUCUGUGGUAUGUUCUUAUUCAAAGUCUUAAAACACUAUAAAUCAGUCUCGGUAGGCAGUUUUUGUAAUCAAUUCAAUUUCUUUUUAUAAUAAACAAAAAUGUAAAGGCAAAUUGUUCAUUAUUAAAGUAUAAAAUACAAUAAUUACACUUUGAAUCAAAGGUGUAUUCAUUUCUGGGAUUCGGGUUUCUUGUCCUCAGCUCUAGGCUUCUAGGUAUCGGGGGUACUGACAUAUCAGUAUCCGAAGAGGCAAUCAACUUUUAUACUCCUGUUGUUUACCGCCAAAGUUAGGUUCUAAUCUUCUUGAUUUGAAGCAAGUUGUAACUUUCCCAAGAUCCUUCUCAAGGCCUUGCAGGUGCAAGCUGUAUGCCUCCUUCUGUCCUUGAACUCCAGUUAACUCUACCAAGAUGGCUAAUGUCCUUUUAUAGGAGUAAAACCACAGUGGAACCACAUUUCUUUGAGUCCUUGAACACACACACAUAAACGCACAGUUUUGCUCCUCCUUAUCAUGGGUAGGCACGCACAUAAUUGACAAUUACUGUACAUCUCUGUCCAUACAGUAUAAGGCAUUUCUUAGAAACAAACAAAAAUAAAUAACAACAUUGUAAGCAAUGCAUUAUAUUCAAUACAUCGGCUACAUAUGUGUAGCAAAAAGGCAUCUAAAAUAAACAAGGAGGCAGGGUAAUUGCAUUUCACUGAUAUUGUACAACAGAACAAUUCCUCAUAUAUUAGUUUCAUUUUAAAAUGUAUAAAAGGUAACAUUGUUACUGUACAAACUUGUCAGGCGUGUAUAUAUUAUGUAACAUACAAUGACAAAAAAUGUCUUUUAAUGUCAUGGAGCAUAAAUGCAUCAUAAAAUAACAUUCUAGGUCAUUUGUAAGUAACACCUGAGAAUUGUGGGUAAAAGUACUUACAGCUGCUAAUUACUAAAUACCAGUAGAUUAUACUUUUCUUAUACUAGUUAUUGCGCUGACGUCUUCACCAAAAAUGAAAAACCUAAAACUAUCUGUGGCUCACUGCUGUUGAAUAUACAAUAGAGAAGAUGCCUCUGCUCUAAACCAUCAGCACAUUUUCUCACGCAUAAUUUGCACUGUCAGAGAUGCCAUCCAAUUUCUGUAAUAUCAUUGACCUCAGUGCACUGUAUCUGUAAAAAACAAAAGUACAACAAAGACAAAAAUGAAUAUAUUGUUGUGUUAAGGAAACAAAGAAUAUUGUACUUGCUUACUUUCUUGUCAGUUUUAAAAUCUCUCUCUCUUCCUCCUCUUUCAGUUUCUUGAUGAAACUGUCCAAAACGGGCAUUUCAAACUUAAUAUACUGUGCAAC
This is a long non-coding RNA of Ctenopharyngodon idella (grass carp), 6912 nucleotides long. RefSeq lists it as uncharacterized. The transcript is spliced from 2 exons. NCBI's taxonomy places the organism in Eukaryota, Metazoa, Chordata, Actinopteri, Cypriniformes, Xenocyprididae. The record is from RefSeq and is a predicted model, not a curated record.